Molecule: long non-coding RNA, 1429 nt
Organism: Columba livia (rock pigeon)
Lineage: Eukaryota; Metazoa; Chordata; Aves; Columbiformes; Columbidae
Exons: 4
Source: RefSeq, a predicted model, not a curated record
ACUCACAUUGAAAAAGCUCCUUUUUAGAUUUUCUUUUUCAAUUCGCAUUUGAGAUUACUUUGAAGAAAACAUGACUUCUUACAGGUAAACAGAAUACCAGAGCUGUGGAAAAAAAAUGGAAUCAUCCUUUUGAUUGAUUUCACAGUAUGUCUUAAGAAUCUGAAGCAUUUUAGGAAGGUCAAAAUGACUUUUCCCAAUUGUGUUGUCUGAUGCUGAGAAACAGCACUAGGUUCACUAAAGGCUUGUAGAUAGUUACUGAUAAACUAAAGAACAUAAGUAAAACUACUUGGAUAUUGCUAGUACAUUUCCGUAGAAAGUUGCAUAAUAAUUCAUUCUGAAUUUUAAUGAUGACCAAACACACUAUGUAAUUUGAACCACAUUGAUAUAUUUUUGAGGUUGGUUGUAGAGCAGAAGCUGUACAAUUUGUUUCUGUUGGCUGCCAUUGGCAAUCCUGCACUAGAAGCGCGUGUGCUUUGGCUGGGAAAAAGAACGAUCUUCUAUCAUUAGGCAAUAGAAUUGAGCAAGAGAUGGGAUCUUGUGCCGUGAUGGAGAAAUGAGAUGUUUUCUUGGAAAUGCACCAGAAGGUCAAGCACUUUUAUGUAACUUCAAAGCCGAAGGAGUAAAGAACAUGCUGCUGCUUUGUAGAGGCUGCUUUUCCUAGAAGACGCUCACCCGCAGAACCCAUAUUCAGCAAAAGUCAAGUUUUUGAGAGAGAGUUUUUAGGAGCAGUGGCUUCAUAGAUUUGUAAGACUUGACAAAAAGAAUAAUAGAAGGAGGUGGUCAAUGCCUGCUGUUUAAAUAUCUUGGCACUGAAAAAUUGUUUGGACGUCACUUUAAGUUAAGUUAUUUACCUGGACUUCAAAUAUCUUCAAGAUUUUCUCAUCAGAAAUGCCUUCAUUUUUUGAGCUCAAUUUAAAUGUGAAUCACAGACAAAUGCAUUUCUCACAUGGACUUCAAUUUUUCUGGUGAUGACUAAGUAUCUGUUGUUGCAAAUUUGACAGGUGGAUGACUGCCUACAGUAAUUUAUACCCUGUGUUAAACCAGGCAUAAAUAUAAAGAGAGAGAACUCAUCUAGAAUAAAGUGCUUAUGGAAUCAUAAAAAUUAAAAGCAGAUGAUCAUAAAAAGUUGAAUGAAGAAAAAUGAAAAAUGAAGAAAAGGAUCCAUUUUAAAGAAAAAGUAAGAAAAUCAGUUGAAAGUAAGUAUAAACACCAGUUAUAUGUGAGCUUCCUAAAUAUUCAUUAAAAGCAAAAGUAAACGUAUGAUUUUUCAAAAGUGGGACAAGAUAGGAGGUUUUUGUGGAGGACUGUGUGAAAGAGGAAAAAAGCACAGGCAGGCAAGACAUGAAAGUAUAUUAAGCAGCCGAUUUCCUACUCAUAAGCUUUAUGUACCUACAGACAGUAGUUCUAGGACUGUGACUUGUUUCAUAUC